UUUAAAAUAAUAAUUAUUUUAAUAUUAUUUUAAAAAUUUUGAUUAUUUUUUAUAAAAAAAAUCAUACAAAAGUACCACUAAAAUUAAAGAAAAUAUUUUAUCAUACAUCUUUAAGAUCGACGAUUUUCUUCGUGAAUUUUAUAGUAAAGAAGAUAAAUCAAAUGAAGAGUAGACAAAUUUAGAGAUUGGGGAAAAUUUAAAAAAAA
RNAcentral lists this long non-coding RNA (206 nucleotides) under Lathyrus oleraceus (garden pea). RNAcentral describes it as "Pisum sativum (pea) long non-coding RNA (PSAT_LNC010646)". The record is from RNAcentral. Lineage: Eukaryota; Viridiplantae; Streptophyta; Magnoliopsida; Fabales; Fabaceae.